RNAcentral lists this ribosomal RNA (549 nucleotides) under uncultured Glomus. RNAcentral describes it as "SSU rRNA". It matches the Rfam family "Eukaryotic small subunit ribosomal RNA", at positions 548 to 1098 of the family's 1831-position model. The record is from RNAcentral. Lineage: Eukaryota; Fungi; Glomeromycota; Glomeromycetes; Glomerales; Glomeraceae. RNAcentral also lists the same sequence under 1 other name.
UUGGAGGGCAAGUCUGGUGCCAGCAGCCGCGGUAAUUCCAGCUCCAAUAGCGUAUAUUAAAGUUGUUGCAGUUAAAAAGCUCGUAGUUGAAUUUCGGGAUCAAUUUGCUGGUCGUGCCUUCGGUACGCACUGGUAUUAUUGGUUUCUCCUUUCUGAUGAAUCGCGAUGUCAUUAAUUUGGUGUCGUGGGGAAUCAGGACCGUUACUUUGAAAAAAUUAGAGUGUUUAAAGCAGGCUCACGCUUGAAUACAUUAGCAUGGAAUAAUGAAAUAGGACGUUUGAUUCUAUUUUGUUGGUUUCUAGGAUCGACGUAAUGAUUAAUAGGGAUAGUUGGGGGCAUUAGUAUUCAAUUGUCAGAGGUGAAAUUCUUGGAUUUAUUGAAGACUAACUACUGCGAAAGCAUUUGCCAAGGAUGUUUUCAUUAAUCAAGAACGAAAGUUAGGGGAUCGAAGACGAUCAGAUACCGUCGUAGUCUUAACCAUAAACUAUGCCGACUAGGGAUCGGAUGAUGUUAAUUUUUUAAUGACUCAUUCGGCGCCUUACGGGAAAC